CCCUUAGAUGUUCCGGGCUGCACGCGCGCUACACUGAUGCAUUCAACGAGUCUACCUUGGCCGAGAGGCCUGGGCAACCUUUUAAACGUGCAUCGUGAUAGGGAUAGAUUAUUGCAAUUAUUAAUCUUGAACGAGGAAUUCCUAGUAAACGCAAAUCAUCAAUUUGCAUUGAUUACGUCCCUGCACUUUGUACACACCGCCCGUCGCACCUACCGAUUGAAUGGUCCGGUGAGGACUCGGGAUUUUUACCAGUUUCCUUCAUUGGGAAUUGGUGAGGAGAACUUGUCCAAACCUUAUCAUUUAGAGGAAGGUGAAGUCGUAACA
This 324-nucleotide ribosomal RNA is filed under the name uncultured eukaryote. RNAcentral describes it as "partial 18S ribosomal RNA". It matches the Rfam family "Eukaryotic small subunit ribosomal RNA", at positions 1470 to 1796 of the family's 1831-position model. The record is from RNAcentral.